GGCUUAGUUAAUGUUGCAAAUAUCAGCCUCGGACCGAGAAUCCGCCUGUCGGUGGUUCAAUUCCACCCCUGGCCACCA
Molecule: transfer RNA, 78 nt
Filed under: Gammaproteobacteria bacterium
Lineage: Bacteria; Pseudomonadati; Pseudomonadota; Gammaproteobacteria
Description: tRNA-Leu
Source: RNAcentral